CCUACGGGGGGCUGCAGUGAGGAAUAUUGGUCAAUGGACGGAAGUCUGAACCAGCCAUGCCGCGUGCAGGAUGACGGCUCUAUGAGUUGUAAACUGCUUUUGUACGAGAAUAAUAGUUCUUACGUGUAGGGCUUUGAAUGUAUCGUACGAAUAAGGAUCGGCUAACCCCGUGCCAGCAGCCGCGGUAAUACUGGGGAUUCAUGCGGUAUCCGGAAUUAUUGGGUUGAAAGGGCGCGUAGGCUGUCGGAUAAGUUAGAGGUCAAAUGGCGGGGCUUAACCCCGGGCCGGCCUAUGAUACUGUUCGACUAGAGAGCGGAUGCAGCAGGCGGAAUGAGUAGUGUAGCAGUGAAAUGCGUAGAUAUUGCUCAGAACACCGAUGGCGCAGGCAGCUUGCUAAGCCGCAUCUGACGCUGAUGCACGAAGGCGUGGGUAGCGAACAGGAUUAGAUACCCGGGUAGUC
RNAcentral lists this ribosomal RNA (460 nucleotides) under uncultured bacterium. RNAcentral describes it as "partial 16S ribosomal RNA". It matches the Rfam family "Bacterial small subunit ribosomal RNA", at positions 338 to 795 of the family's 1533-position model. The record is from RNAcentral.